UACGAAGGGUGCAAGCGUUGCUCGGAUUUAUUGGGCGUAAAGCGCGCGCAGGCGGAUCAGCAAGUCAGGUGUGAAAUCUCGGGGCCUAACCCCGAAAGUGCGCCUGAAACUGCUAGUCUAGAGUAUCGGAGGGGGCAGGGGAAUUUCACGUGUAGGGGUAAAAUCCGUAGAGAUGUGAAGGAACACCGGAGGCGAAGGCGCCUGCCUGGACGAUUAUUGACGCUGAGGCGCGAAAGCGUGGGGAGCAAACAGG
RNAcentral lists this ribosomal RNA (253 nucleotides) under uncultured bacterium. RNAcentral's name for it is "partial 16S ribosomal RNA". It matches the Rfam family "Bacterial small subunit ribosomal RNA", at positions 524 to 776 of the family's 1533-position model. The record is from RNAcentral.